This 496-nucleotide ribosomal RNA is filed under the name uncultured bacterium. RNAcentral describes it as "partial 16S ribosomal RNA". It matches the Rfam family "Bacterial small subunit ribosomal RNA", at positions 30 to 523 of the family's 1533-position model. The record is from RNAcentral.
AUUGAACGCUGGCGGAAUGCUUUACACAUGCAAGUCGAACGGUAGAGGGGGCAACCCCUCGAGAGUGGCGAACGGGUGAGUAAUAUAUCGGAACGUGCCCAGUCGUGGGGGAUAACGUAGCGAAAGUUACGCUAAUACCGCAUACGAUCUAAGGAUGAAAGCGGGGGAUCGCAAGACCUCGCGCGAUUGGAGCGGCCGAUAUCAGAUUAGGUAGUUGGUGGGGUAAAGGCUCACCAAGCCAACGAUCUGUAGCUGGUCUGAGAGGACGACCAGCAACACUGGAAAUGAGACACGGUCCAGACUCCUACGGGAGGCAGCAGUGGGGAAUUUUGGACAAUGGACGCAAGUCUGAUCCAGCCAUUCCGCGUGCAGGAUGAAGGCCCUCGGGUUGUAAACUGCUUUUGUACGGAACGAAAAGGUCUCUCUUAAUACGGGGGACUCAUGACGGUACCGUAAGAAUAAGCACCGGCUAACUACGUGCCAGCCGCCGCCGUAA